UACGUAGGUGGCAAGCGUUGUCCGGAUUUACUGGGCGUAUAGAGCGCGCAGGCGGUCGUUCAAGUCGCGUGUGAAAGCCCCCGGCUCAACUGGGGAGGGUCACGCGAUACUGAUCGACUCGAAGGCAGGAGAGGGUAGUGGAAUUCCCGGUGUAGUGGUGAAAUGCGUAGAUAUCAGGAGGAACACCGGUGGCGAAGGCGGGUCUCUGGGCAACAACUGACGCUGAGGAGCGAAAGCGUGGGGAGCGAACAGG
This 253-nucleotide ribosomal RNA is filed under the name uncultured bacterium. RNAcentral describes it as "partial 16S ribosomal RNA". It matches the Rfam family "Bacterial small subunit ribosomal RNA", at positions 524 to 776 of the family's 1533-position model. The record is from RNAcentral.